Molecule: long non-coding RNA, 2682 nt
Organism: Gasterosteus aculeatus aculeatus (three-spined stickleback)
Lineage: Eukaryota; Metazoa; Chordata; Actinopteri; Perciformes; Gasterosteidae
Source: Ensembl
GCCACUUGGCUUCAGCACCGGGCCUCUCUGCAUCGGAAACUGGAGCGGCAUGACUUUUGUUAGAACUCCUCUUCUUCUUCUCCUCCUCCUCUCCCCCCUUUCUCUCCCUCUACCUCCCCCUCUCUCUCCCUCUCUCUCUCGCUCUCACUCUGCAGUCUGCCGCGAGGCUGUCCGUCUUUCACUGCGGAUACCGCGAGGGGAGGCCGAGGAAGACACCGAGAGGAGGAAGAGGAGAACCGGAUGGUCGUGAGGACGGGAAGUCACGUGCCAAAGAAAUAAGUCUGAUUUGCACCUGAGAAGCUCUCCGGCUCCACGCUGGGCCUGAAAUGGGACCCUAGUCACUGUGGCCCCUUGGAGUUUGCGUAGAGUUUAUUCCUCACGGGCCGGGAGGGACAGAUGGGACUGGAGGUGGGACUACAGGGAAAGGAGAGUGAGCAGUCACGCCGCAUGACGACGCACUGCACGCCUGUAUAGAACAAACAGGCAAAGAAAUCCGUACCAGACCGGGAUGUGUGUAGCAAAUCACACGCUACAUGACAUGCAUCUGACGGGGAACAAGAGGAAUUUGUUACGCUCUAACACUUGAGAAAAGAUGGGAAGGAGAUGGAAGGAGGAGGAAAGAACACAAAUCUGAGAGAGGGAAUUGCCUAUUUUUUCAUCACAGAUUAUUUUAGGGGGUGAAUGCCAUUCCUGAGUUGACUAAAAACGAGCCAAACAAAAUAUGGAAUAUUCUGAAUUUACGAACUGCAUUGUGGUAGGAAAAAAAAAGCAGAAACAUGUGUGUCGCCCCCCCCCAUCACCCAGUCGCUGUUUGUUCCUUAAUGCAGCAGCUGGUAUUAGUCUCUCAAAAGGCCCGGCUGUGUCUGCCAUCCUACUUGCCUCACAUAUUCUUUUCUACGGCUUAUCAGUCGGAAAGCCAGGGGAGCUGUCCAGUCUCAUUCUCUCACUGGAGAGCACAUGUCAGGACCUAUUUGCCACUGGUUACUUUGAGAGUGACAUCAGCGAUGACCCCUUGACCCCGGCUGACGGAGAAAUGCUUCUGCAAUAGUUUUCCAUUACAGAGGCGAGAGAGCGCGGACACCAGACGGAUAUGUGAAAUGAGAAAAUAGGAAAACUGGAAAAGGCAUUUAGACCUGUAUUUGACCUAUCAUGUUUCGGCUUUCUGCGGCAGGCUUUUAUGAAAUGAGUAUUUGACCCAUUAACAAAUCCUUUGUCGUUUCUCUCGGAUGUUUUCCACGACCGCCAUGCGACGGCUAUUACAGAGGACAAAGCAGGGGUCAUCACAACGACACACAUAGCAGCGAUUCACUCGGCUUUCUCUUUUUUUUAGUGUCUUGAUGACGUGUAUCUGCUUGUCAGUCUGGCUAUGUGAGGAUCAGCCUCAGACGUAUCUGUAGAGUCUCGUAUUAAGGGACAAAUUGUUGCGACUGAGCUUUCGACAUGCCUCUCAACAGGUUGGAGACCAGCGUUUUUAUAUAGAUCUGAGCUGAGCUGAGUGGACGGCGAUGUUUGUUCAUCCAGGGGCACGCUGCUGCAGAUUGCCAUUGCAGCUUUUCAGUGCAACAAUGACUGUCGUCACACCAGCCGAAUCCCUUAUAGAUUUCAUUAUCUGAAAUAGAAGCAGUGAGGAUGAAAAGCACCUGUGAACAGAAUGUAACAGAAGCGUGAUAUCUCAGUAUUGAUCAUAUAUUAGCCUUUUUUAUUAUAAAUACAGCCAAAUAAUGUUGUUUUAAUAUUCGCUACAUUAAACUUGUCCUUCUAUUAAAACACCAGUUUGCCAUUUUUCUAAACGCAUUCAUCCGCUGUCUUCCAGAGAGUGAAAUGAUUACUAUCAGAUUAACAUCACUCUUGUGUCCGUACACAACAGCCCUAUUCUAAGUUUAGCAUUAUUAUUGGUUAAUGUUGAAAAAUCCGAUAUCGUGAAUCAAUGGUUCUGUUUUCUCUUUAUUUUUGGAUAAAAACGCUAUAGAAAAAUGACCUUACAGUUGUUUACUUGCUGGAAUGUACCUUUUAGGAACCUUUUAUUUUAGCUUAUUCCAUUUGUGGUGAAGACAUGUCACAUGUCACUAAUCAAUACGAAAUGUAUAAUCCCUGUAGGAGUUUGUGCUGCAUUUUCUUGUGUCAGAGUAACUGCCACCAAAGAGAACAACAUUCCCUCUGGUUGUGCUGACUAUGCAAAGCACAGAUUAUACGACACAUCAGCUCAACCAUCAGAUCCCUGGUUUUGACACAGCAAUAUAGUCUCUGACACUUGUAAAUCUAUUAUAUAAAUCGUAUUAAUAGCAUCUGUGCCGCCCCAUCAAAGUGUGAUUGACAAAUUACCCGCUGUAAACCGUGCAGGAUGAAGGAAACUGCGCGGGAAGAUGUCCAUUUAGAGCACUGAUUUAUGUAAUAUGACAGGGAUGCGUUGAUGGGGGCACUGCUGCCUUAUCACCCAUUAUGCUUCCCCACAGCUCAUAAAGACAUAUGUCAGCACGCGAAAGCUUCGCAGGUCAGUGUGAAGAGACGGGAAGCGUUCCAGCUAGUCCACUGCUGGCCUUUGCCUUCGUGAUAAAUUGCAUUUAUGAAAGCUGCAAUUACCUGAUUACCGCUCUGGCUCCCACUCACUAGCAGGACUCAUCACGGCCCUGUAAUUUCAUUCAAAUUCCCCAUGAACCUUCAUCCGCAGUGUCAACACAACUG